RNAcentral lists this long non-coding RNA (345 nucleotides) under Brassica napus (rape). RNAcentral's name for it is "long non-coding RNA (BNAP_LNC012811)". Lineage: Eukaryota; Viridiplantae; Streptophyta; Magnoliopsida; Brassicales; Brassicaceae. The record is from RNAcentral.
AGGGACUACAUUGUUUGUAUUUGUACCAGAGUUAGAUGCUUACUGAAAGUAGUUUGAACGCAAAGGAUCUGUGCUCAAAUAAGCAUAUUAAGAUAGAAAAUAUAGAAGCUUUACAGCUUUAUUAUGCAAGAAAUGUAAAGGAAGAAGAAAAACUUUAGAGUGUCUUCAAGAUCAAAUCUCUAGAUUGUUUUCAUAAAGAGGAGAUUAGAUAGUUUUUAUUUGUACCAGAGUUAGAUGCUCACUGAAAGUAGUUUGAAAGCAAAGGAUUUGUGCUCAAAUGAGUUUAAAAUAUAAAGAAUAAAAUAUGAAAAAUAGUAGCUCAUAAAGCAUUAUUAUGAAGUUUUU